GACGAACGCUGGCGGCGUGCCUAAUACAUGCAAGUAGAACGCUGAAGGAGGAGCUUGCUUCUCUGGAUGAGUUGCGAACGGGUGAGUAACGCGUAGGUAACCUGCCUGGUAGCGGGGGAUAACUAUUGGAAACGAUAGCUAAUACCGCAUAAUAGUAGAUGUUGCAUGACAUUUGCUUAAAAGGUGCAAUUGCAUCACUACCAGAUGGACCUGCGUUGUAUUAGCUAGUUGGUGGGGUAACGGCUCACCAAGGCGACGAUACAUAGCCGACCUGAGAGGGUGAUCGGCCACACUGGGACUGAGACACGGCCCAGACUCCUACGGGAGGCAGCAGUAGGGAAUCUUCGGCAAUGGACGGAAGUCUGACCGAGCAACGCCGCGUGAGUGAAGAAGGUUGUCGGAUCGUAAAGCUCUGUUGUAAGAGAAGAACGAGUGUGAGAGUGGAAAGUUCACACUGUGACGGUAUCUUACCAGAAAGGGGCGGCUAACUACGUG
Molecule: ribosomal RNA, 495 nt
Filed under: uncultured bacterium
Lineage: Bacteria
Description: partial 16S ribosomal RNA
Rfam family: Bacterial small subunit ribosomal RNA
Source: RNAcentral